RNAcentral lists this ribosomal RNA (494 nucleotides) under uncultured bacterium. Its description in RNAcentral is "partial 16S ribosomal RNA". It matches the Rfam family "Bacterial small subunit ribosomal RNA", at positions 28 to 507 of the family's 1533-position model. The record is from RNAcentral.
GACGAACGCUGGCGGCGCGCUUAACACAUGCAAGUCGAACGGAAAGGCCUGCUUUCCCUUGUGGAUUGCGGGUACUCGAGUGGCGAACGGGUGAGUAACACGUGAGUGAUCUGCCCCCAACUUGGGUAUAAGCCUGGGAAACUGGGUCUAAUUCCCGAUAGGACUGCAGGGUGGUGCCUGUGGUGGAAAACGAUUUUCUAGUGGUUGGGGAUGAGCUCGCGGCCUAUCAGCUUGUUGGUGGGGUAAUGGCCUACCAAGGCGGCGACGGGUAGCCGGCCUGAGAGGGUGGACGGCCACAGUGGAACUGAGAUACGGCCCAGACGCCUACGGGAGGCAGCAGUGGGGAAUAUUGCACAAUGGGCGGAAGCCUGAUGCAGCGACGCCGCGUGGGGGAUGACGGCCUUCGGGUGGUAAACUCCUUUCGGCCGCGAGGAAGCCACCUGGUUGGAAGGGUGGUGACGGUAGUGGUAGAAGAAGCACCGGCUAACUACGUG